CGGCGCCCCACAGGCGAGUGCGCCCUGGCCCCAGGUGCGGCCUCUCUCCCUUCCUUCUCCUCUCCUUACUUCAUUGGCUCCGGAGUCGAGCGCAGCGCCGGCGUGCUCCCUAGCGGUGGCUGUCGCCGGCGACGGAACGGCGCGACCGGACCCUAGGUUUUGUAUAUUCAUGCUUAUUUAUUCUACCCAAAUCUGGAGAUGGAGCUCAAGGCACAAGCACAGCCUAGGCCAUAUCAACGAGCGUCAGUAAGAUUUUUGGCAACGGGACUACAAAAUUUGAUGAUGCUUGCAUGCUACGAUCUGCAGGAUGAGCAAAGUCUGUAGUUGGCGCUUGUAUUGCAGAUUCAGGUCUCUGGACUUCUCCAAUCAAGAGCAACAGGUCAGGGUCACUCCAUACUUGGAUAGCUUGGAGCCAGGAAUUCUCAGCUAAAAUGGUGUGUAAUGCUUGAGUGAACUCCAUGUCCUCUCCAAACCUAUCACCAAUGAGGGCUCCGGUGUGAGUGGUCUUCAUCUAUGGGACAGCAAAUGAGGGGAUUAAAAUGGCGAGGACAAUAGUGAUGAGCGCCUAAUUCACUUCAGAUGUAAAGCACCAAAUCUUCUUUAACCUAGAACAUCGUUGCCCAAGCCUAGAAUGCCUCCCCUGUCAUCGAACAUCUGGCUCAACUUCCGUUCAGCGCCUACUACAUCCGCAUUCGUGCCUCUGGUGUUCCUGUUGUAAAUGAGUAGAAUUCUGCUUUUCUCAAGGGACAAAGUUUUAUCAUGACGACUGCAUGCAUCCAAGAUGGUGUGGCUAGGGAAUGAGUUAUUUACAGUGGUGGCAGAGACGGAGAUUGAGAGUGGGUAUGUGCACUACCACAUCGAGCAGUGGCAAACAGGAAACAUCUGCUGAGGGAAUCACAAGGGUUGUAGGUGGAAUGAAGUACACAAAAUGCUGACAUCUCUAUUUAUGGGCACAUCGAUGGCGUAAACAUGAACAGACCAAAAAUAGAAGCAACAAUGUUCAUGCUUGAAAGCCAAAGUAAAGAUGUUGGUUCAACAGAUAGUUGUGGGUAACUUAUAAUGUUUAGUUUUAAAUCUAGGAAAACAUCUUUAAUGAGGGUUGUUAACUAUAUUUGUAGUUAUGUUGACAAGUGCCUAGGUGAGAUCAUUUCCAUUGCAAAAUGCCAGAAAUGGCACAACAUGCUUGGAGGCGAUCUUUUGUUUGCCCUUAAGGGCAUAUACCCUCACCCUCUUCACCAUUAGAUUCGCAUUGAGAAGUGUGCAAAUAUACAUCUCAAUACAGAUUCGCAUUGAGAUAUUUACACCUCAAUGCGAAUUCAAUAGUGGAGAGAGAGAGAGAGGGCACAUGCCCUCAAGGGCACAUUUAACUUUACCCAGCAUGUUUGGCAGUAACGAAACAAGGAUUUCUAUGGUGGUCCUAACCAAUUCUAACUUAUGCAAUUCAGUACUAUCCAUAUUCAAAACAUGAGGUAUGGUUCA
Sorghum bicolor (sorghum) is the source of this 1479-nucleotide long non-coding RNA. RefSeq lists it as uncharacterized. Lineage: Eukaryota; Viridiplantae; Streptophyta; Magnoliopsida; Poales; Poaceae. The record is from RefSeq and is a predicted model, not a curated record. The transcript is spliced from 8 exons.